UUCCUGACAUCCCGACACUGCGCUGAG
This 27-nucleotide non-coding RNA is filed under the name Mus musculus (house mouse). The record is from RNAcentral. Lineage: Eukaryota; Metazoa; Chordata; Mammalia; Rodentia; Muridae.